AGUGAACGCUGGCGGUAGGCCUAACACAUGCAAGUCGAACGGCAGCACAGCAGUAGCAAUACUGUGGGUGGCGAGUGGCGGACGGGUGAGGAAUACAUCGGAAUCUACCUUUUCGUGGGGGAUAACGUAGGGAAACUUACGCUAAUACCGCAUAAGACCUUCGGGUGAAAGUGGGGGACCGUUCGGGCCUCACGCGGAUA
Molecule: ribosomal RNA, 200 nt
Filed under: uncultured bacterium
Lineage: Bacteria
Description: partial 16S ribosomal RNA
Rfam family: Bacterial small subunit ribosomal RNA
Source: RNAcentral